This is a non-coding RNA of Cinara cedri, 225 nucleotides long. Lineage: Eukaryota; Metazoa; Arthropoda; Insecta; Hemiptera; Aphididae. The record is from the annotation of a GenBank genome assembly.
CUUCGAGUAAAUUCUAAAAUAAUGGGGGCUUAAAGUGCUCUCAAAAAAUAUUUGUACUAUUUUGUACCUAUGAUUUUUGUGUAAGAUUUGAUUUUAAAGAUCGUGGUCUCCCCUGCCAAGAGGACCUGCGCACGCUUAUGAUCACAGAUAAAUAUUUAAGAACAUGUACGAGUAUUUUGACUUUUUCUCUCUCAGAUCCAUAAAUCCAGAAAUUAUCCAAAUCAU